RNAcentral lists this long non-coding RNA (2056 nucleotides) under Anas platyrhynchos platyrhynchos (common mallard). Its description in RNAcentral is "lncRNA (ENSAPLG00000023514.1)". Lineage: Eukaryota; Metazoa; Chordata; Aves; Anseriformes; Anatidae. The record is from RNAcentral.
CCUAAUUUAGUAUCAUCUGCAAACUUGGCAUUUGAGUCCUGGGUCCAGGUCAUUUAUGAAAACGUUAAAGAGAACUGGCCCUAAAAUGGAUCCCUGGGGAACUGCACUAGUGGCUGGCUGCCAGCCUUUGAGCCUGACCCAUCAGUUGGUUGUUCCCCCACCAUUUCAUGAGUUUGUCAUACUGUAAGCAACGGUAUUGAAAACUUUGCUGAAAUCUUAAAAGAUUACAUCAACUGGCUUCCCUUGGUCAACUAGGUUGGCAACCUUGUCACAAAAGGAAAUGAAGUGUGUUAAACAGGCCUUCCCUCUCAUGAACCCAUGUUGAAUGUGACCAAUGACUGUGUUGUCUUUCCAGUGUUUUUCAGUAACCCGCAGGACGAUCUUCUCCGUAAUUUUUCCAAGCACUGAAGCGAGACCGAGGGGCCUGUAAUUAUAAGGCUCUUCUUUCUUUCCUAUCUUGAAAACUGGUACAACAUUUGCCAGCUUCCCGUCAACUGAUCCCUAGGACCUCCUGGCGCUUUAUCUCCUGCAGCAGCACCGAGAUUAAAACCCCUCUCAGGGCCACCUCGCUGCGAGGCGCCGCAGCCAGCCCCCAGGGCGCCAUUUCGCGCUCCCCGCCCUGCCGGCUGGCGGCGCCAUUUGCUGCCCCCGCGCCCCCUCCCCAAAAUGGAGGCGCGGCGUCUCUCCCUCACAGCAGGGGGGAGCCUCCCUGCGGGCACGGAGUGGGACCAGCCCCGCAUCCCCCGCCGCCCGCAGGUGAGGUUCCUCCCAGCUCGGCAGUCGGGAUGGUGCGGGGAGGGCUCUGCGCGGCCACCCUGCGCGGAGAGCCGGGCUGUGCGAGGCGGGGGCGGGCAGCACGGUACCGCACCGCACCGCCGGCACCGCACCGCCCCGGCUCUUCGGCGCCGCCUCCAGCCGCGGGGCCGCGCACCCGCGGCAGGGACGGGGCCGCGGAGGCCCCGCCGGCAGGUAGGUCGGGGCUGCGGCCCCCGAGCGGCGAGAGCCGGCCGGCCUGAAGGGCCGCAGCGGGACAGUGCUAGAGCAAAACAGAAGUAAGUCUGUUACAUGAGUGAAGGACAGAUUCAGCUGGAGUAUCCAUCUCAUGGCCUUACUGAUUUUUAACUGUUGGGAUCUCAUGACUGGCCUUCUAUGUGAUUUUAAUGUCUCAUUUGUGUGCUGAAGUGUGCACGAACAGUACAGUAUGAUGAGGAAGGUAAGAGGAGCAUUAUACGUAUAUAUCCAAGCUCUUGAAAUUCUGAGUGUUUACUGUCUUAACUGUUGAAGGAAGCAUUUGGUUUCUGGUGGUUGCGUUCUCUUUGUGGGUCAGAAGCUAUGCACUGAAUUACGGCUCUGUGUGUGUUUUGUUUGAGCGUGAUCCUAAUACUGGGAAACAUAAGCUGGUUUUGCAGUGAGUGGAAGCUCCUCCAUCAUGUAGGAAUUAAACACAAAUGGAUGUGUUGCCACAGAGCAGCAUGGAAGGACAGUACCUUUGUGCAUGCAGAGUAUCCUCAUGCUGUGAACACUGUAGGGAUAAGGUGUGUAGUGCAAAGCCUGGCAUUUUGCUGCUUUGGUAACUUUUAUUAAUACAAACCAUAUGUAUAUUUGUUUAUAUAUAUGUUUGUUUUUUUUACAAGUACUUAUGUUUCUGAACCAAGGCAAGUGAUGUUGCAAAAGUCUGGAUCAUUUGCAUUAGAAAAAGGUAUCUAGUAUUUCAGCUCCUACAAAUACAUUUUUGCGUGUGUGUGAACCAGGUAGCAGAGGACAUACAGAACAUGCAGAGCAAUGUUCAUAAAGCAAAGCUCUUCCCCUUUGUUUGAAUCCCUUUUAGCUAAGGGUACAGGGAUAGUACACUUGCUCCUUCGGAGAAGUAAUAUAACCUGUGCCUUGGGCUGGCAUUCCCACCUGGAGUUCAUGGUUUUUCCUAGUGUUGCUAGAAGUUACUUAGAUGACUCAGUCUCCCCUUCCAGGAUAUGGAAAUCACUACUUGUCUCCUUUUAGUGGCAGCAAAGUUCACCUUACUUAGGAAAAAAAGUUGUAAAAUAAGCAAAAUUUUUCU